CGGGAAACUGGGGAUAAUACCCGAUAGAUCUCGACUGCUGGAAUGCAUCGAGAUCGAAAGCUCCGGCGCCAGAGGAUGGGUCUGCGGCCUAUCAGGUUGUAGUGGGUGUAGCGUACCUACUAGCCUACGACGGGUACGGGUUGUGAGAGCAAGAGCCCGGAGAUGGAUUCUGAGACACGAAUCCAGGCCCUACGGGGUGCAGCAGGCGCGAAAACUUUACAAUGCCGGCAACGGCGAUAAGGGGACCUCGAGGGCCAGGUUACAAAUCUGGCUGUCGUGAUGCCUAAAAAGCAGUGCAUAGCAAGGGCCGGGCAAGACCGGGGCCAGCCGCCGCGUAACA
Molecule: ribosomal RNA, 340 nt
Filed under: uncultured archaeon
Lineage: Archaea
Description: partial 16S ribosomal RNA
Rfam family: Archaeal small subunit ribosomal RNA
Source: RNAcentral